RNAcentral lists this ribosomal RNA (301 nucleotides) under uncultured bacterium. RNAcentral describes it as "partial 16S ribosomal RNA". It matches the Rfam family "Bacterial small subunit ribosomal RNA", at positions 509 to 807 of the family's 1533-position model. The record is from RNAcentral.
CAGUAGCCGCGGGAAUACGAAGGUGGCUAGCGUUGUUCGGAUUUACUGGGCGUAAAGCGCACGUAGGCGGACUUUUAAGUCAGGGGUGAAAUCCCGGGGCUCAACCCCGGAACUGCCUUUGAUACUGGAAGUCUUGAGUAUGGUAGAGGUGAGUGUAAUUCCGAGUGUAGAGGUGAAAUUCGUAGAUAUUCGGAGGAACACCAGUGGCGAAGGCGGCUCACUGGACCAUUACUGACGCUGAGGUGCGAAAGCGUGGGGAGCAAACAGGAUUAGAUACCCGGGUAGUCCCUGUCUCUUAUAC